This 501-nucleotide ribosomal RNA is filed under the name uncultured bacterium. RNAcentral's name for it is "bacterial SSU rRNA". It matches the Rfam family "Bacterial small subunit ribosomal RNA", at positions 899 to 1397 of the family's 1533-position model. The record is from RNAcentral.
ACUCAAAUGAAUUGACGGGGGCCCGCACAAGCGGUGGAGCAUGUGGUUUAAUUCGACGCAACGCGCAGAACCUUACCAGCCCUUGACAUCCCGGUCGCGGACUCCAGAGACGGAGUUCUUCAGUUCGGCUGGACCGGAGACAGGUGCUGCAUGGCUGUCGUCAGCUCGUGUCGUGAGAUGUUGGGUUAAGUCCCGCAACGAGCGCAACCCCCGUCCUUAGUUGCUACCAUUCAGUUGAGCACUCUAAGGAGACUGCCGGUGAUAAGCCGCGAGGAAGGUGGGGAUGACGUCAAGUCCUCAUGGCCCUUACGGGCUGGGCUACACACGUGCUACAAUGGCGGUGACAAUGGGAUGCUAAGGGGUGACCCUUCGCAAAUCUCAAAAAGCCGUCUCAGUUCGGAUUGGGCUCUGCAACUCGAGCCCAUGAAGUUGGAAUCGCUAGUAAUCGUGGAUCAGCACGCCACGGUGAAUACGUUCCCGGGCCUUGUACACACCGCCCGU